GUAAUGGCUCACCAAGGCGACGACGGGUAGCCGGCCUGAGAGGGUGACCGGCCACACUGGGACUGAGACACGGCCCAGACUCCUACGGGAGGCAGCAGUGGGGAAUAUUGCACAAUGGGCGCAAGCCUGAUGCAGCGACGCCGCGUGAGGGAUGACGGCCUUCGGGUUGUAAACCUCUUUCAGUAGGGAAGAAGCCUUUCGGGGUGACGGUACCUGCAGAAGAAGCGCCGGCUAACUACGUGCCAGCAGCCGCGGUAAUACGUAGGGCGCGAGCGUUAUCCGGAAUUAUUGGGCGUAAAGAGCUCGUAGGCGGUUUGUCGCGUCUGCUGUGAAAGCCCGGGGCUUAACUCCGGGUCUGCAGUGGGUACGGGCAGACUAGAGUGCAGUAGGGGAGACUGGAAUUCCUGGUGUAGCGGUGAAAUGCGCAGAUAUCAGGAGGAACACCGAUGGCGAAGGCAGGUCUCUGGGCUGUUACUGACGCUGAGGAGCGAAAGCAUGGGGAGCGAACAGGAUUAGAUACCCUGGUAGUCCAUGCCGUAAACGUUGGGCACUAGGUGUGGGGGGACAUUCCACGUUUUCCGCGCCGUAGCUAACGCAUUAAGUGCCCCGCCUGGGGGAGUACGGCCGCAAGGGCUAAAACUCAAAGGAAUUGACGGGGGCCCGCC
RNAcentral lists this ribosomal RNA (665 nucleotides) under Citricoccus sp. PF2-2. Its description in RNAcentral is "bacterial SSU rRNA". It matches the Rfam family "Bacterial small subunit ribosomal RNA", at positions 257 to 925 of the family's 1533-position model. Lineage: Bacteria; Bacillati; Actinomycetota; Actinomycetes; Micrococcales; Micrococcaceae. The record is from RNAcentral.